RNAcentral lists this long non-coding RNA (845 nucleotides) under Gallus gallus (chicken). The record is from RNAcentral. Lineage: Eukaryota; Metazoa; Chordata; Aves; Galliformes; Phasianidae.
CCACUGGCUACAUGCUUAACAUGGGAAAUGCAGGUAUCGUAACAUAAACAUAGUGCAAACCAUGGCAGUUCACGGUGGUUCUGACUGCCGCAGGUCAGGAAACAGACCAUAAUAUACCCAGUUAUCACAGUUUCUGGUCUUUAUUCAAUCCUUUGCCAAGUAGAAGCAAUGCAUGUUGCAGACCCAUGGCACUGUUGAUGCUGAUUAACGUAGUUUGAGAUCAUCACCACUUCCUAGGUUGGAUCCAGGACUAGGGUCUUGUUGUCUUCUUGCCUCCAUUUCCUCCCGAUGAGACCUGUCUCUGUCUUCGAAUUCACGGGUUCUUCUUCGAGCUUCUUCAAAGGCUUGUUGUGCCAAUGCAUCCUCCUGCUGUGCUCUCUCUUCAUCAAAUUCCAGGCAGCCCAUACCAUCCAGUCUCUGUAGAUCUAUCCAGCCUUUCCAGAUUACACAGACACCAUUAAGAAUCAUAGGUGCCUUCAAGUACACCUUGCCUCCUUCUCUCUCAAAGUCGACAUACUCCCGGGUUGGUGUCUGCCGCUGCUCCCCCUGCCAGCUGGCCGGAAAAAACUGGAGAGACAGAUUGGUUCCCGUGGCCACAAAAGCGAUCUCGGAGCGGCCGUCGCGGCAGGCGUUCUGGAAGCGGGCCUGCCUCUCCUCGUGGGGCCGGUCCCUGAAGCCGGUGUACUUGAUCUCGCACUCGCGGCUCAGCUUCCUGAAGAACUCCUCGUUCUCGAACUUGCUGCGCUGGUCGGGGACGACCCGCGGCAUGGUGCCGGGCCGCCGCUGCCCUCCGCCCGCCCCGCGCUGUCCCGGCCCCGCCACUCGCCUCGCCCUUUGUUAGCCCC